This 403-nucleotide ribosomal RNA is filed under the name uncultured bacterium. RNAcentral's name for it is "bacterial SSU rRNA". It matches the Rfam family "Bacterial small subunit ribosomal RNA", at positions 355 to 775 of the family's 1533-position model. The record is from RNAcentral.
UGGGGAAUAUUGCACAAUGGGCGAAAGCCUGAUGCAGCAACGCCGCGUGAAUGAUGACGGUCUUCGGAUUGUAAAGCUCUGUCUUUGGGGACGAUAAUGACGGUACCCAAGGAGGAAGCCACGGCUAACUACGUGCCAGCAGCCGCGGUAAUACGUAGGUGGCAAGCGUUGUCCGGAUUUACUGGGCGUAAAGGGUGCGUAGGCGGACCUUUAAGUGAGAUGUGAAAUCCCCGAGCUUAACUUGGGGGCUGCAUUUUAAACUGGAGGUCUAGAGUGCAGGAGAGGAGAGUGGAAUUCCUAGUGUAGCGGUGAAAUGCGUAGAGAUUAGGAAGAACACCAGUGGCGAAGGUGACUCUCUGGACUGUAACUGACGCUGAGGCACGAAAGCGUGGGGUGCAAACAG